Molecule: ribosomal RNA, 378 nt
Filed under: Escherichia coli
Lineage: Bacteria; Pseudomonadati; Pseudomonadota; Gammaproteobacteria; Enterobacterales; Enterobacteriaceae
Description: partial 23S ribosomal RNA
Rfam family: Bacterial large subunit ribosomal RNA
Source: RNAcentral
GGUUAAGCGACUAAGCGUACACGGUGGAUGCCCUGGCAGUCAGAGGCGAUGAAGGACGUGCUAAUCUGCGAUAAGCGUCGGUAAGGUGAUAUGAACCGUUAUAACCGGCGAUUUCCGAAUGGGGAAACCCAGUGUGUUUCGACACACUAUCAUUAACUGAAUCCAUAGGUUAAUGAGGCGAACCGGGGGAACUGAAACAUCUAAGUACCCCGAGGAAAAGAAAUCAACCGAGAUUCCCCCAGUAGCGGCGAGCGAACGGGGAGCAGCCCAGAGCCUGAAUCAGUGUGUGUGUUAGUGGAAGCGUCUGGAAAGGCGCGCGAUACAGGGUGACAGCCCCGUACACAAAAAUGCACAUGCUGUGAGCUCGAUGAGUAGGGC